RNAcentral lists this ribosomal RNA (497 nucleotides) under uncultured bacterium. RNAcentral describes it as "partial 16S ribosomal RNA". It matches the Rfam family "Bacterial small subunit ribosomal RNA", at positions 28 to 507 of the family's 1533-position model. The record is from RNAcentral.
GAUGAACGCUGGCGGCGUGCCUAAUACAUGCAAGUCGAGCGAACAGAUGAGGAGCUUGCUCCUCUGACGUUAGCGGCGGACGGGUGAGUAACACGUGGAUAACCUACCUAUAAGACUGGGAUAACUUCGGGAAACCGGAGCUAAUACCGGAUAAUAUAUUGAACCGCAUGGUUCAAUAGUGAAAGACGGUUUUGCUGUCACUUAUAGAUGGAUCCGCGCCGCAUUAGCUAGUUGGUAAGGUAACGGCUUACCAAGGCAACGAUGCGUAGCCGACCUGAGAGGGUGAUCGGCCACCCUGGAACUGAGACACGGUCCAGACUCCUACGGGAGGCAGCAGUAGGGAAUCUUCCGCAAUGGGCGAAAGCCUGACGGAGCAACGCCGCGUGAGUUAUGAAGGUCUUCGGAUCGUAAAACUCUGUUAUUAGGGAAGAACAAAUGUGUAAGUAACUAUGCACGUCUUGACGGUACCUAAUCAGAAAGCCACGGCUAACUACGUG